This 253-nucleotide ribosomal RNA is filed under the name uncultured bacterium. Its description in RNAcentral is "partial 16S ribosomal RNA". It matches the Rfam family "Bacterial small subunit ribosomal RNA", at positions 524 to 776 of the family's 1533-position model. The record is from RNAcentral.
UACGAAGGGGGCUAGCGUUGUUCGGAAUUACUGGGCGUAAAGGGCGCGUAGGCGGUCUGAUUAGUCAGAUGUGAAAUUCCCGGGCUUAACCUGGGCGCUGCAUUUGAUACUGUCAGGCUUGAAUUCAAGAGAGGAUAGCGGAAUUCCCAGUGUAGAGGUGAAAUUCGUAGAUAUUGGGAAGAACACCGGUGGCGAAGGCGGCUAUCUGGACUGACAUUGACGCUGAGGCGCGAAAGCGUGGGGAGCAAACAGG